AGAGUUUGAUCAUGGCUCAGAAUCAACGCUGGCGGCGUGCCUAACACGUGCAAGUCGAACGAGAAAGGGAUCCUUCGGGAACCUGAGUAAAGUGGCGAACGGGUGAGUAGCACGUGGGUGACCUGCCCUCUGGAGGGGGAUAACCCGAGGAAACUCGGGCUAAGACCGCAUAAGCCUUUGACGUCAAACUCAAAGGGAAAAGGAUUUAGCUUUCGAGUUAGAUCCUACCGGAGGAGGGGCCCGCGUCCCAUUAGCUAGUUGGUGGGGUAAAAGCCUACCAAGGCUACGAUGGGUAGCCGGUCUGAGAGGACGGACGGCCACACUGGAACUGAGACACGGUCCAGACUCCUACGGGAGGCAGCAGUGGGGAAUUUUGGGCAAUGGGCGAAAGCCUGACCCAGCAACGCCGCGUGGAGGAUGAAGGCCCUCGGGUCGUAAACUCCUGUCCUAGGGGAAGAAAAAAAUGACGGUACCCUUGGAGGAAGCCCCGGCUAACUCCGUGCCAGCAGCCGCGGUAAGACGGGGGGGGCGAGCGUUGUUCGGAAUUACUGGGCGUAAAGGGCGCGCAGGCGGCCUGGGAAGUCUUGGGUGAAAGCCCCCAGCUCAACUGGGGAAUGGCCUGAGAAACCACUAGGCUGGAGUGCUGGAGAGGGAAGCGGAAUUCCCGGUGGAGCGGUGAAAUGCGUAGAU
RNAcentral lists this ribosomal RNA (690 nucleotides) under uncultured deep-sea bacterium. RNAcentral's name for it is "bacterial SSU rRNA". It matches the Rfam family "Bacterial small subunit ribosomal RNA", at positions 8 to 695 of the family's 1533-position model. The record is from RNAcentral.